Molecule: transfer RNA, 62 nt
Filed under: Plateumaris sericea
Lineage: Eukaryota; Metazoa; Arthropoda; Insecta; Coleoptera; Chrysomelidae
Description: tRNA-Phe
Source: RNAcentral
ACUUAAAUAGCUUAUAAAGAGCAUAGUAGUGAAGUUACUAAGGAGAUAUUAAUUUUUAAGUA